Molecule: small nucleolar RNA, 148 nt
Organism: Dama dama (fallow deer)
Lineage: Eukaryota; Metazoa; Chordata; Mammalia; Artiodactyla; Cervidae
Product: small nucleolar RNA SNORA79
Exons: 1
Source: RefSeq, a predicted model, not a curated record
UGAUGGCUGCUUCUCUCACUGCUUGGUGCCUUAAGUAGUGGGAUUUUAGCUUGUCAUAUAUCUAAGCUGACUUAUUUUCACUCAGGGCAUCAUGGGGAUCUGGUGGCUAUCUGUUAGUGCCUUCUGAUUUUUGCAGAGUCAAACAAUU